This 450-nucleotide ribosomal RNA is filed under the name uncultured bacterium. RNAcentral's name for it is "partial 16S ribosomal RNA". It matches the Rfam family "Bacterial small subunit ribosomal RNA", at positions 354 to 796 of the family's 1533-position model. The record is from RNAcentral.
GUGGGGAAUCUUCCGCAAUGGACGAAAGUCUGACGGAGCAACGCCGCGUGAGUGAAGAAGGUUUUCGGAUCGUAAAGCUCUUUCGUUAGGGACGAACGUGCUCCUUGUGAAUAAUGAGGAGUAAUGACGGUACCUAAAUAAGAAGCCACGGCUAACUACGUGCCAGCAGCCGCGGUAAUACGUAGGUGGCAAGCGUUGUCCGGAAUUAUUGGGCGUAAAGCGCGCGCAGGCGGGAUAUCAAGUCUGUCUUAAAAGUGCGAGGCUCAACCUCGUGAGGGGACAGAAACUGGUAUUCUUGAGUGUCGGAGAGGAAAGUGGAAUUCCAAGUGUAGCGGUGAAAUGCGUAGAGAUUUGGAAGAACACCAGUGGCGAAGGCGACUUUCUGGACGAUGUCUGACGCUGAGGCGCGAAAGCUAGGGGAGCGAACGGGAUUAGAUACCCCAGUAGUCC